UGCCAUAUUGGACACACACAUACACACACCGCUCCUGCUUCAACCAGAACACCGGAUCGCUCAAUUCUGAUAGACGGCAAAAACUCGCAUAAGGCAUGGAUUGUGUAGAGGAGGAGGUGGAUUUUAACUGGGAGGAGUACCUUGAAGAGACUGGAGCCACUGCCGCCCCUCACACUUCAUUCAGACAUGUGGAGCUCAGCCUUCAGAGCAGUUUUCAGCCUGGAAUGAAGCUUGAAGUAGCUAAUAAGGGCAGUCUGGAUACAUAUUGGGUGGCCACCAUUAUAACCACAUGUGGUCAGUUGCUAUUGUUACGCUACUGUGGCUAUGGCGACGACCGCAAGGCUGACUUCUGGUGUGACGUCAUGACAGCCGAACUUCAUCCUGUCGGCUGGUGCGCUCAGAACAACAAAACACUUCAGCCACCUAAAGGUAAGGCGCAAGUGCACACAAACGUAAACCAGCACACCUUCAGAGAUGCAUGUAUACUCAAACAUAGAUAAAGCUCAUGUUGAAACAGUCCCUCCUGUCUAAACAUAUGACAUCCACCCACACACAAACACACACACACACACCCCCACACAGCUUCUUGCUAUGUAGCAAGUCCACCUUGUUUGUUCAAAU
This is a long non-coding RNA of Sinocyclocheilus grahami, 621 nucleotides long. RefSeq lists it as uncharacterized. The record is from RefSeq and is a predicted model, not a curated record. The transcript is spliced from 3 exons. NCBI's taxonomy places the organism in Eukaryota, Metazoa, Chordata, Actinopteri, Cypriniformes, Cyprinidae.